This 70-nucleotide transfer RNA is filed under the name Camelus bactrianus (Bactrian camel). It matches the Rfam family "tRNA". From Rfam's summary of the family: Transfer RNA (tRNA) molecules are approximately 80 nucleotides in length. Their secondary structure includes four short double-helical elements and three loops (D, anti-codon, and T loops). RNAcentral also lists the same sequence under 1 other name. Lineage: Eukaryota; Metazoa; Chordata; Mammalia; Artiodactyla; Camelidae. The record is from Rfam by way of RNAcentral.
GUGGGUAUAGCUCAGGUAGAGCACACGCUUGGUAUACCCAAGGUCCUGGGUUCAAUCCCCAGUACCUCCA